This 531-nucleotide long non-coding RNA is filed under the name Marmota monax (woodchuck). The record is from RNAcentral. Lineage: Eukaryota; Metazoa; Chordata; Mammalia; Rodentia; Sciuridae.
GGGCUUUGCGCCCCCCUUCGGUCGCCACCGCGGCGAUGGCGGCUCCUUCUCCUGUCCCCUGCCUGGGAAGUCCAAGAGCCUAAGACCCGCCAUCCCCUCGAGGCUCCGGACCGCCGAGGCGCGGAGGGGAAAAGGCAGGCGCGCGCGAGUUUACGCUUGCUCCCGGGUUCUCCGUUCCUUUCCCCCGGCCUCUGGGUCCUUCUGACCCCAGCGCCUCCUCUACUUUCCCGAAGUCCCUGAGUCCUCCUGCCCCAUGGCCUUGUUCCCCUGCUCCGAUCCCAGACUGUCCGCUGACCGGAGCCCGGGCCACUUCACUCACUUAUCUAGCGGAUAAAGAGCCCUGCCCGCGCUCUCCCUGCUGCAGCCCCACGCUGGGUGAGACCGCUGGACCUACAUGGCAGCCUCUUUGUGCCGCCGGUGCUCAACCCAGGUGACCCCUUUUAAUUCGGAACCGGACUCCUGGGCGUGAGCUUCAGGACUGGGGCCAAGGAUCACUGCACCCACCUGGUUCUGACCUUAGCUUGGUGUCAC